This 66-nucleotide transfer RNA is filed under the name Puntioplites falcifer. Its description in RNAcentral is "tRNA-Cys". It matches the Rfam family "tRNA". From Rfam's summary of the family: Transfer RNA (tRNA) molecules are approximately 80 nucleotides in length. Their secondary structure includes four short double-helical elements and three loops (D, anti-codon, and T loops). Lineage: Eukaryota; Metazoa; Chordata; Actinopteri; Cypriniformes; Cyprinidae. The record is from RNAcentral.
AGCUCCGUGGUGAGAACACAUCGGAUUGCAAAUCCGGAGACGCAGACUAAUACUCUGCCGGGGCUU